Molecule: long non-coding RNA, 1048 nt
Filed under: Brassica napus (rape)
Lineage: Eukaryota; Viridiplantae; Streptophyta; Magnoliopsida; Brassicales; Brassicaceae
Description: long non-coding RNA (BNAP_LNC012657)
Source: RNAcentral
CCAUUACUUGCGAAAUCACCACUUUUAUCAGGGUGUGAUGAUUCAUACUCCUUCCACAACUUAAUCAGUUCUUGCAUACAUUCCCCAACUUUGUAAACAACAACCGGCACCUCUGGUUUGCCUGGAUCAUCAGUAUAACAUAGUUCAACAAGCUGACGCUCUAACCAAAUUAUGUUUCCCAUAACAGUACAAAGAGUUUAAAGUAGUAAGAUAAAAGUAGCAGACACUUGAUAUAUGUUUAUUAGACCUAGACCUUAGACCAAUCACGAAAAAUGCAGAGGUAUAAGCAACUUCAAGGAACCCAAAUCUGAAAUAGUAUCGAGGAUGAACCGACUUUUUGAAUUCUAUAUUUUACAUUUUAGUGUGAGAGUAACGAACUGCAACCUAAAGACCAUUAUCAAUGCACAUGUAAAAUCAAAUGCCAGUUUAACCGAUUUCUUUUUGUUCUCCAAGCAGUGCAAAAGGAUCCUUUCUCGAAGAUAUUGUAACGAAUGAUUACCUUGUACCCUGCAAAAGAAACACAAUCAAACAUAAAUGAUUAGAUUAAAUGCCAGAUUAGUGACUGAAAAAAAGUUGAGGACUUAGCCAAUAACUAACUUACAUGAUAAAAAAAAUAAAUGCAGGCCAAAAUAUUCUUAACACAGUGAAAGAUAGGCGGUAGAGAAGAAUAUCCAGAGAGAAAAAAAAAAUCAAAUUUAGGUUUCAAGAGAUAAGUGACACUACAAAGUACAACUAUGGAUGCAAAGUUUUCUUUUAAGUCAAAAAAACAAUAAUGGUAAUAAGAUAUCUAUCACCGGCACAUUUGACUAAAUAGGUUCAAUUUCAAACUUCAACAAAUCUUGGCAUGUCUCUCUAAAUGCUAAGAAAUUUUAGAGGAUUUAGCUAAGAAAUGAGAGGCAGAGAGACGCACCCUUCGUUGUCCUGACUCCGUGAACGGACACGGUCGCGGUUUGUGGUCUGUGGGCUGCCUCUCGGUCUCAGCAUUCUCUUCCGUUGCUGAACUCCACAGUUGAAGGCAUCCUUAUCCCUCUCUGCAGCUCCUUCACCC